GAUGAACGCUGGCGGCGUGCUUAACACAUGCAAGUCGAACGGAAAGGCUCCUGCUUGCAGGGGUACUCGAGUGGCGAACGGGUGAGUGACACGUGGGUGAUCUGCCCUGCACUUCGGGAUAAGCCUGGGAAACUGGGUCUAAUACCGGAUAGGACGAUGGUUUGGAUGCCAUUGUGGAAAGUUUUUUCGGUGUGGGAUGAGCUCGCGGCCUAUCAGCUUGUUGGUGGGGUAAUGGCCUACCAAGGCGUCGACGGGUAGCCGGCCUGAGAGGGUGUACGGCCACAUUGGGACUGAGAUACGGCCCAGACUCCUACGGGAGGCAGCAGUGGGGAAUAUUGCACAAUGGGCGCAAGCCUGAUGCAGCGACGCCGCGUGGGGGAUGACGGCCUUCGGGUUGUAAACUCCUUUCGCUAGGGACGAAGCGCAAGUGACGGUACCUGGAGAAGAAGCACCGGCUAACUACGUG
Molecule: ribosomal RNA, 466 nt
Filed under: uncultured bacterium
Lineage: Bacteria
Description: partial 16S ribosomal RNA
Rfam family: Bacterial small subunit ribosomal RNA
Source: RNAcentral